GAGAAUAGCUCAAUUGGUAGAGCAACGGUCUCCAAAACCGUAGGUUGGGGGUUCGAGUCCCUCUUCUCC
This 69-nucleotide transfer RNA is filed under the name marine eukaryotic metagenome. It matches the Rfam family "tRNA". Rfam says of the family: Transfer RNA (tRNA) molecules are approximately 80 nucleotides in length. Their secondary structure includes four short double-helical elements and three loops (D, anti-codon, and T loops). Further hydrogen bonds mediate the characteristic L-shaped molecular structure. tRNAs have two regions of fundamental functional importance: the anti-codon, which is responsible for specific mRNA codon recognition, and the 3' end, to which the tRNAs corresponding amino acid is attached (by aminoacyl-tRNA synthetases). tRNAs cope with the degeneracy of the genetic code in two manners: having more than one tRNA (with a specific anti-codon) for a particular amino acid; and 'wobble' base-pairing, i.e. permitting non-standard base-pairing at the 3rd anti-codon position. The record is from RNAcentral.